UUCGCUUCCCAUUGUUUUCCAGAACCCUCUCUCUGACUCCCAUUUUGGACAGCACGGUCGGAAACUGCUUCGUAGGCAAAACUCCAAAGGAAAUCCCACAAAUACAGCGUGAGAGCAAAGUCAGUACACAGUAGCGAUACCUGGCCGGCAACAUCUAUCGGCAUACACGAUGUUUGCGAAUUUAGAGCAUAUUAUGAAGGAGAUGCAGGGAGCCAUAAUAUUUGCUGCAGCUUUUCAUGAAAUACUUGGAUACAGUGGGAUUGCAAUGAUAUUUUUGAACAGCAGAUAGUCACAUAUGGAAAGCAGAGCUCAAAAUCAUUAAAAAGGUCAAAGUCAAGGCAUCAUAAGAAGUGUGCUUGCUUCCAUUUUUU
This is a long non-coding RNA of Ipomoea triloba (trilobed morning glory), 371 nucleotides long. RefSeq lists it as uncharacterized. The transcript has 3 exons. The record is from RefSeq and is a predicted model, not a curated record. NCBI's taxonomy places the organism in Eukaryota, Viridiplantae, Streptophyta, Magnoliopsida, Solanales, Convolvulaceae.